RNAcentral lists this ribosomal RNA (464 nucleotides) under uncultured bacterium. RNAcentral's name for it is "bacterial SSU rRNA". It matches the Rfam family "Bacterial small subunit ribosomal RNA", at positions 28 to 507 of the family's 1533-position model. The record is from RNAcentral.
GAUGAACGCUGGCGGCGUGCCUAACACAUUCAAGUCGAACGGUGACGGGGACUUCGGUCCCCCGAUCAGUGGCGGACGGGUGAGUAACGCGUGAGCAACCUGCCUCUGCGUGGGGGAUAACGAUUGGAAACGAUCGCUAAUACCGCAUAAUGUAAUUUCUUGGCAUCUUGAAAUUACCAAAGAUUUAUUGCGCAGAGAUGGGCUCGCGUCUGAUUAGAUAGUUGGUGGGGUAACGGCCUACCAAGUCGACGAUCAGUAGCCGGACUGAGAGGUUGAACGGCCACAUUGGAACUGAGAAACGGUCCAGACUCCUACGGGAGGCAGCAGUGGGGAAUAUUGGGCAAUGGGCGAAAGCCUGACCCAGCGACGCCGCGUGCGGGAAGAAGGUCUUCGGAUUGUAAACCGCUGUUGAUAGGGAAGAAGAAGUGACGGUACCUCUUGAAUAAGCCACGGCUAACUACGUG